AUUGAACGCUGGCGGCAGGCCUAACACAUGCAAGUCGAACGGUAACAGGAAACAGCUUGCUGUUUCGCUGACGAGUGGCGGACGGGUGAGUAACGCGUGGGAACGUGCCCUUCUCUACGGAAUAGCCCCGGGAAACUGGGAGUAAUACCGUAUACGCCCUUUGGGGGAAAGAUUUAUCGGAGAAGGAUCGGCCCGCGUUGGAUUAGGUAGUUGGUGGGGUAAUGGCCCACCAAGCCGACGAUCCAUAGCUGGUUUGAGAGGAUGAUCAGCCACACUGGGACUGAGACACGGCCCAGACUCCUACGGGAGGCAGCAGUGGGGAAUCUUAGACAAUGGGGGCAACCCUGAUCUAGCCAUGCCGCGUGAGUGAUGAAGGCCUUAGGGUUGUAAAGCUCUUUCAGCUGGGAAGAUAAUGACGGUACCAGCAGAAGAAGCCCCGGCUAACUCCGUG
Molecule: ribosomal RNA, 451 nt
Filed under: uncultured bacterium
Lineage: Bacteria
Description: partial 16S ribosomal RNA
Rfam family: Bacterial small subunit ribosomal RNA
Source: RNAcentral